This 301-nucleotide ribosomal RNA is filed under the name uncultured bacterium. Its description in RNAcentral is "partial 16S ribosomal RNA". It matches the Rfam family "Bacterial small subunit ribosomal RNA", at positions 509 to 807 of the family's 1533-position model. The record is from RNAcentral.
CAGCCGCCGCGGUAAAACGGAGGGGGCUAGCGUUGUUCGGAAUUACUGGGCGUAAAGCGCACGUAGGCGGCUUGGUAAGUUAGAGGUGAAAGCCUGGGGCUCAACUCCAGAAUUGCCUUUAAGACUGCAUCGCUUGAACGUCGGAGAGGUGAGUGGAAUUCCGAGUGUAGAGGUGAAAUUCGUAGAUAUUCGGAAGAACACCAGUGGCGAAGGCGGCUCACUGGACGACUGUUGACGCUGAGGUGCGAAAGCGUGGGGAGCAAACAGGAUUAGAUACCCCCGUAGUCCCUGUCUCUUAUAC